UACGUAGGGGGCUAGCGUUGUCCGGAAUCAUUGGGCGUAAAGCGCGUGUAGGCGGCCCGGUAAGUCCGCUGUGAAAGUCGGGGGCUCAACCCUCGGAUGCCGGUGGAUACUGUCGGGCUUGAGUACGGAAGAGGCGAGUGGAAUUCCUGGUGUAGCGGUGAAAUGCGCAGAUAUCAGGAGGAACACCUAUUGCGAAGGCAGCUCGCUGGGACGUGACUGACGCUGGGACGCGAAAGCGUGGGGAGCAAACAGG
Molecule: ribosomal RNA, 253 nt
Filed under: uncultured bacterium
Lineage: Bacteria
Description: partial 16S ribosomal RNA
Rfam family: Bacterial small subunit ribosomal RNA
Source: RNAcentral